UUCGGCGCAUGCGCGGGGCGGUGCCGCCCGGCAGCGGAAGCGAGGGCGCCGCUGGGUUCCGGGUCGCGGCGGCGCAGCGAGGGCAGCGGGGCCGCGCCGCCGCCUCCAGGUGACCGGGCCGGGCCCGGGGGCCGCCGCCGCCGCUGCGGCGGGACCUCUGCGCCCCGGGAGCGGCAUGAGGCGGGGCGGCGCCGCCGGCAGCCCGCCCUGACCCGCCCCGACCGCGAGCGGCCGGCCCCGACAUGGCGGCGCAGUCGACGAUCCCCAUUUGGCAGAACAAACCCCACGGCUCAUCGCGCAGCGUCGUCAGGAGGAUCGGGUCAACCCUUCCUCUCAAACCCUGCCCCAGAGCAACCUUUGAGGUUCUGCCAAACGUUUCAGAGCUCUAUUUAAAUGACAUCCCUCCGGUCCCUACUUUGGCCGACAUUGUGUGGAUAGCAGCAGAUGAUGAAGAAACAUAUGCCAGAGUCAGGAGCGACACUCGCCCGCUGAAGCACAAGUGGAAGCCCAGUCCCUUCACUGUCAUACAGCGAAAUGCUUCAGUCCCCAACCUGAGGAAGCAGGAGGAGAAGCUGCUCGCCUUGAAGAAACCUGGUUUACCAGCACUGAGCCGAACAACCGAGCUCCAGGAUGAGUUGAGUCACCUUCGGAGUCAGAUAGCUAAAAUAGUGGCUGCAGAGUCAGCUUCUGCUUCAUUAACACCAGAUUUAUUAUCUCCAGGAAGUUCAAAUGCAUCUUCUCCUUUACCUUGUUUUGGACCCUCUUUCCACUCUACAACUUCCUUUGUCAUUAGUGAUAUCACAGAGGAGGAGGCAGAAUUAGAAACCCCAGAGCUCCCAUCAGUUUCCAUGCUUUGUUCUGCAACCUCUGAAUGUUGUAAACCAGAACCAAAGGAUCCUGACGAGGAAGAUUCUGUGUCUCUUUCGAAGGCCAGCAGUUUUGCGGACAUGAUGGGCAUUCUUAAAGACAUUCAUAGGAUGAAGCAGAACAAAGACUUGACUUGGUGCUUAAUCACAACCUUGGAAGCUUCAUGAAUGAGUAUGAGAAACACUUGCAGAAAUGUGUAUGUUUCAACAAAUGUCACAUAGAGCCCUUUAAAAUGUCUGUGAUGCCCUCUGGAAGGGGAUUGUCUGAGUAGUGUGUCUGCCGAGCCGUGCAUUCAGUGUGUGGUUAAAAACAGGUAGCAGGAGGAGCUGCUUGCAAUAAACCGAACGUCAAUGAAGGAGGAAGACCCUGCUAUUCUUAUAGCGGAAGUUUUGAGAAGAAAAUUUGCCCUAAAGGAUGAAGAUCUAACCAUGAAAGAGAAGUGAUGUUACUAUCAUUAAACUCUGUAAGCAAGUGUUAUGCUCCCAAAAUUUUCUCCACAGUAGCUGCCUUCCUAAGGAUUGAACUUUUUUGCCUCUUUUAUUAAUUAGAAAUUGUUUAUGCACUGGACACUUACUUAGGAAAGACCCUAUGGAUUUGAAGUGUUUUCAAUGUAUUGUAAUAUUUAAGAAAAAAAAUUUUUAAGAAGAUGGAAAUUCUUUUCCACUUGUAUUUAGGUCUUGAUUUUUGGUAAGGAUCUUCUAAGGAAUGCAAUGGGUGCUGCUGGAUGAAGUUCUUUCUACCUACAGUUUUCCUUAGGUUCACAGUAAGCAUUCAAGUUAACUUAUAACUGUCUUGUUGCAAUAUAACUUAUUACCCAUUACAGUAUGAAUGGAUGUCAAACAUCCAGUUCUUCCUCUAUUGUGAGUCUGGUACGGAGCUACUGAGAAUAAACUGUUUCAUGCUUCCAGGUCUUCAGUGUUUAGGAAGUUGUUGAAUGAAGGAGGUUAAAGUUUUCUUUCCAAUUACCUUGUCUAAGCUGAUGAUUAGAUGAAAUCGAAGUAAAUAAUCAAACCAUUCAGCCGUGCCUAACGGGUGCUGGCUGGUUUUAAUACGCCCUUGCUGUUUCUUAAUUCACAAAUCAUCCCUAUAGUUGCAUGACAGGAUGGCCUUAAUUUCUGGCCCAUAAUUUCAUGUUUCAUUAGUAGUCCUUGUAUUCAGAUGAAAUGUAUUUUAUUUAGUGUUCCAAAAGGUCCGUAUAUUGAACCACCAAUGCUAGGAGCUGAGCACCACGAAAACUGUCAUCUAAACAGAGAGAAGACAGAAAUUUGUAUUGUUUAUGGCUACAGUUCUCACUAAUUGAAGAUGUUUCUUUCAGCUAUGCUCACUCUCUGCAAUGUUCCUCAUGGCUGUAUUUAAAGUAUGAUUUUUUUUUCAUUUAUAUAAAAUUGAGCCUUAAUAAGACAA
Dromaius novaehollandiae (emu) is the source of this 2271-nucleotide RNA transcript. It is a transcript of the gene named mitochondrial fission regulator 1 like, with no coding region annotated. The record is from RefSeq and is a predicted model, not a curated record. The transcript is spliced from 7 exons. NCBI's taxonomy places the organism in Eukaryota, Metazoa, Chordata, Aves, Casuariiformes, Dromaiidae.